RNAcentral lists this unclassified non-coding RNA (136 nucleotides) under uncultured Ascomycota. Its description in RNAcentral is "sequence contains ITS1". Lineage: Eukaryota; Fungi; Ascomycota. The record is from RNAcentral.
CUGAGUUUUUAACUCCAAACCAUUGUGAACUUACCACUGUUGCCUCGGCGGCAGUCCUCUUCACGGAGGCGGCCGCCGGUGGACUACUAAACUAUGUUAAUUUUUGUCAAUUCUGAAUUAAAAACUUAAUAAGUUA